UUUUCGCGUUAGCGAUUGCAGCGGCAUCCUUUUUUGGACGGCUGGGCCGGCAGAAAAAGAUAGAGCGGAAAGCGCGACCCGAU
RNAcentral lists this small RNA (83 nucleotides) under Arenibacter nanhaiticus. Its description in RNAcentral is "Arenibacter sp. NH36A Flavo-1 RNA". It matches the Rfam family "Flavo-1 RNA". Lineage: Bacteria; Pseudomonadati; Bacteroidota; Flavobacteriia; Flavobacteriales; Flavobacteriaceae. The record is from Rfam by way of RNAcentral.